RNAcentral lists this ribosomal RNA (440 nucleotides) under uncultured bacterium. Its description in RNAcentral is "partial 16S ribosomal RNA". It matches the Rfam family "Bacterial small subunit ribosomal RNA", at positions 338 to 795 of the family's 1533-position model. The record is from RNAcentral.
CCUACGGGCGGCAGCAGUAGGGAAUAUUGCUCAAUGGGGGAAACCCUGAAGCAGCAACGCCGCGUGGAGGAUGAAGGUUUUCGGAUUGUAAACUCCUUUUGUUAGAGAAGAUAAUGACGGUAUCUAACGAAUAAGCACCGGCUAACCCCGUGCCAGCAGCCGCGGUAAUACGGAGGGUGCAAGCGUUACUCGGAAUCACUGGGCGUAAAGAGCGCGUAGGCGGGAUAGCAAGUGAGAUGUGAAAUCCUAGGGCUUAACCAUAGAACUGCAUUUGAAACUGUUAUUCUAGAGUAUGGGAGAGGUAGGUGGAAUGCUUGGUGUAGGGGUAAAAUCCGUAGAGAUCAAGAGGAAUACUCAUUGCGAAGGCGACCUGCUAGAACAUAACUGACGCUGAUGCGCGAAAGCGUGGGGAGCAAACAGGAUUAGAUACCCUUGUAGUC